GGAAGGUCAGGGCGAGCAGGGGGGUGAAGAGGUAGGGGGUAAGCUGUGUUCGGAAUUAGUGGGCGUAAAGAGGUUGUAGGUGGCUGGUGGAGGCUGACGUGAAAGCCCUAGGCGUAACGUUGGGUCUUCGGUGGAGACGAGCAGGCUAGAGGUAGGUAGAGGGAAGCGGAAUUCCUGGUGUAGCGGUGAAAUGCGCAGAUAUCAGGAGGAACACCGGUGGCGAAGGCGACCUGCUGGGCCUUACCUGACGCUGAAGAGCGAAAGCGUGGGGAGCGAACAGGAUUAGAUACCCCAGUAGUC
RNAcentral lists this ribosomal RNA (300 nucleotides) under uncultured Helicobacter sp. Its description in RNAcentral is "bacterial SSU rRNA". The stretch from base 52 to 300 matches the Rfam family "Bacterial small subunit ribosomal RNA", at positions 547 to 795 of the family's 1533-position model. The record is from RNAcentral. Lineage: Bacteria; Pseudomonadati; Campylobacterota; Epsilonproteobacteria; Campylobacterales; Helicobacteraceae.